RNAcentral lists this long non-coding RNA (514 nucleotides) under Medicago truncatula (barrel medic). RNAcentral's name for it is "lncRNA gene16251". Lineage: Eukaryota; Viridiplantae; Streptophyta; Magnoliopsida; Fabales; Fabaceae. The record is from RNAcentral.
GAACCUGCAUUUGAUAAAUUACUCGCAACACACCUCCUCCGGGGGGUGGGGGCUCGAAGCAAACAGUGACUCUUUCAAACGUUCAGUAACAUCUCUCAUCAUGGCUCCCGUAAAACUCGCUCGGCGGUUACGAUUCUCUCAAAUCUGUAAUCUUUAAGCCACAUGUGUGCCAGACAACGACACUGCAACACCCACUCUCUAUAUAAAGGGGACUCUUAGCAGUCCCCAAGGUUAGAAUCUGCUUACUCUAUAAAUCCCCAUUCUGACUCAAAUCCUGACUUGAGCGUGUAUGCAUGUACACCUCCUGCCAUUCCAAUCAACAACUGAGACUUCAACCACCGUAUCAAAUUGCAUCGGUAGUCAUCUUUUGAUCGGUUUUCUGGAGUGAGAAAAUGCUCAAAGACCCAUUUACAUAGGCCCAAUACAAACUAUCCCAGAACCUGCAUUUGAUAAAUUACUCGCAACACACCUCCUCCGGGGGGUGGGGGCUCGAAGCAAACAGUGACUCUUUCAA